Non-coding RNA from Triticum aestivum (bread wheat), 125 nucleotides. NCBI's taxonomy places the organism in Eukaryota, Viridiplantae, Streptophyta, Magnoliopsida, Poales, Poaceae. The record is from Rfam.
GUCCUACUCCCUCCGUCCGGAAAUACUCGUCGAAAGAAUGGAUGUAUCUAGAUGUUUUUUAAUUCUAGAUAUAUUCAUUUUACUGCAUUUUUCCGACAAGUAUUUUCAGACGGAGGGAGUAGCUG